UUGGAGGGCAAGUCUGGUGCCAGCAGCCGCGGUAAUUCCAGCUCCAAUAGCGUAUAUUAAAGUUGUUGCAGUUAAAAAGCUCGUAGUUGAAUUUCGGGAUUCAUCCGUUGGUCGGGCUUCACGGUCCGUACUGGUGUGAUGGGUUCCUACCUUCUGAAUAGCCGGCAUGCCAUUAAUUUGGUGCGCCGGGGAAGCAGAACUAUUACCUUGAAAAAAUUAGAGUGCUUAAAGCAGGCAAGUGCCUGAAUAGGUUAGCAUGGAAUAAUAAAAUAGGACGGCAUGGUUCUAUUUUGUUGGUUUCUAGGAUCACCGUAAUGAUUAAUAGGGAUAGUUGGGGGCAUUAGUAUUCAAUUGUCAGAGGUGAAAUUCUUGGAUUUAUUGAAGACUAACUUCUGCGAAAGCAUUUGCCAAGGAUGUUUUCAUUAAUCAAGAACGAAAGUUAGGGGAUCGAAGACGAUCAGAUACCGUCGUAGUCUUAACCAUAAACUAUGCCGACUAGGGAUCGGACGAUGUUAAUUUUUUAAUGACUCGCUCGGCGCCUUACGGGAAACCAAAGUGUUUGGGUUC
Molecule: ribosomal RNA, 567 nt
Filed under: uncultured Glomeromycotina
Lineage: Eukaryota; Fungi; Glomeromycota
Description: SSU rRNA
Rfam family: Eukaryotic small subunit ribosomal RNA
Source: RNAcentral